AAGUCGUAACAAGGUUUCCGUAGGUGAACCUGCGGAAGGAUCAUUAGUGAAAAUAUAGCGCACCUUUUUAACAAGGGCGUGACCCUCUCACUUUUCAAACUCUGUGCACUUUUUUAUGGCAAGACUCGAUUUGAAAUCAAGUUUUGCGGCUCAUUUUUUUUUUAAUUAAAAAACACUACAAGUCAGAGUAUGUUCAAAUGAAAUUUAUAAUCAAAUAAAAACUUUCAACAACGGAUCUCUUGGCUCUC
This 248-nucleotide unclassified non-coding RNA is filed under the name Bauerago sp. RNAcentral describes it as "partial contains small subunit ribosomal RNA, internal transcribed spacer 1, and 5.8S ribosomal RNA". The stretch from base 1 to 46 matches the Rfam family "Eukaryotic small subunit ribosomal RNA", at positions 1786 to 1831 of the family's 1831-position model. Lineage: Eukaryota; Fungi; Basidiomycota; Microbotryomycetes; Microbotryales; Ustilentylomataceae. The record is from RNAcentral.